This is a small nuclear RNA of Mustela putorius furo (domestic ferret), 107 nucleotides long. NCBI's taxonomy places the organism in Eukaryota, Metazoa, Chordata, Mammalia, Carnivora, Mustelidae. The record is from Ensembl.
CUGCUGGCUUCAGCAGCAUAUAUACUAAAAUUACAAUGACACAGAGAAGAUUAGCAUGGCUCCUGUGCAAGGAUGACAUGCAAAUUCAGGAAGGCCUCCAUUACAAA